GACGAACGCUGGCGGCGUGCUUAACACAUGCAAGUCGAACGGAAAGGCCUGCUUUCCCUUGUGGAUUGCGGGUACUCGAGUGGCGAACAGGUGAGUAACACGUGAGUGAUCUGCCCCCAACUUGGGUAUAAGCCUGGGAAACUGGGUCUAAUUCCCGAUAGGACUGCAGGGUGGUGCCUGUGGUGGAAAACGAUUUUCUAGUGGUUGGGGAUGAGCUCGCGGCCUAUCAGCUUGUUGGUGGGGUAAUGGCCUACCAAGGCGGCGACGGGUAGCCGGCCUGAGAGGGUGGACGGCCACAUUGGGACUGAGAUACGGCCCAGACUCCUACGGGAGGCAGCAGUGGGGAAUAUUGCACAAUGGGCGGAAGCCUGAUGCAGCGACGCCGCGUGGGGGAUGACGGCCUUCGGGUUGUAAACUCCUUUCGACCGCGAGGAAGCCACCUGGUUGGAAGGGUGGUGACGGUAGUGGUAGAAGAAGCACCGGCUAACUACGUG
Molecule: ribosomal RNA, 494 nt
Filed under: uncultured bacterium
Lineage: Bacteria
Description: partial 16S ribosomal RNA
Rfam family: Bacterial small subunit ribosomal RNA
Source: RNAcentral